Molecule: ribosomal RNA, 400 nt
Filed under: phytoplankton environmental sample
Lineage: Eukaryota
Description: partial small subunit ribosomal RNA
Rfam family: Eukaryotic small subunit ribosomal RNA
Source: RNAcentral
AGCAUCUGCAAGCAUAUACAAAAGUUGCUGCGUUUAAAAAGCUCGUAGUUGGAUCUGUUGGUAGAGUUGCGGAAAGCGGGGGUCCCUUUGUGUCCCUACGUGUGACUCGACCACCUUCCCGUUAAGAGUGUUUGCACUUAAUUGUGUUGAAUGCUCGAGAUGGAAUUAUUACUCAGAAUAAAUCAGAGUGAUUAAAGCAGGCUUUGGCCUUGAAUGAUAAAGCUUAGAAUAUGGAAAGAAGACCCUUUCAUUGCGUUGAUGAUUGGUUUGCGAUGUUUGGAUAAUGAUUGAAAGAAACAGGAGUGGGCAUUCGUAUUGCUACGUUAGAGGUGAAAUUCUUGGAUCGUGGCAAGACGUACUACUGCGAAAGCAUUUGCCAAGGAUGUUUUCAUUAAUCAAG